RNAcentral lists this transfer RNA (72 nucleotides) under Streptococcus gordonii. RNAcentral's name for it is "tRNA-Gln". It matches the Rfam family "tRNA". From Rfam's summary of the family: Transfer RNA (tRNA) molecules are approximately 80 nucleotides in length. Their secondary structure includes four short double-helical elements and three loops (D, anti-codon, and T loops). Further hydrogen bonds mediate the characteristic L-shaped molecular structure. tRNAs have two regions of fundamental functional importance: the anti-codon, which is responsible for specific mRNA codon recognition, and the 3' end, to which the tRNAs corresponding amino acid is attached (by aminoacyl-tRNA synthetases). tRNAs cope with the degeneracy of the genetic code in two manners: having more than one tRNA (with a specific anti-codon) for a particular amino acid; and 'wobble' base-pairing, i.e. permitting non-standard base-pairing at the 3rd anti-codon position. Lineage: Bacteria; Bacillati; Bacillota; Bacilli; Lactobacillales; Streptococcaceae. The record is from RNAcentral. RNAcentral also lists the same sequence under 1 other name.
UGGGGUAUAGCCAAGCGGUAAGGCAAGGGACUUUGACUCCCUCGUGCGUUGGUUCGAAUCCAGCUACCCCAG